Molecule: ribosomal RNA, 498 nt
Filed under: uncultured bacterium
Lineage: Bacteria
Description: partial 16S ribosomal RNA
Rfam family: Bacterial small subunit ribosomal RNA
Source: RNAcentral
AGCGAACGCUGGCGGCAUGCCUUACACAUGCAAGUCGAACGGUAACAGGUCUUCGGAUGCUGACGAGUGGCGAACGGGUGAGUAAUACAUCGGAACGUGCCUAGUAGUGGGGGAUAACUACUCGAAAGAGUGGCUAAUACCGCAUGAGACCUACGGAUGAAAGCAGGGGAUCGCAAGACCUUGUGCUACUAGAGCGGCCGAUGGCAGAUUAGGUAGUUGGUGGGAUAAAAGCUUACCAAGCCGACGAUCUGUAGCUGGUCUGAGAGGACGAUCAGCCACACUGGGACUGAGACACGGCCCAGACUCCUACGGGAGGCAGCAGUGGGGAAUUUUGGACAAUGGGCGAAAGCCUGAUCCAGCAAUGCCGCGUGCAGGAUGAAGGCCUUCGGGUUGUAAACUGCUUUUGUACGGAACGAAAAGCCCCGGGUUAAUACCCUGGGGUCAUGACGGUACCGUAAGAAUAAGCACCGGCUAACUACGUGCCAGCCGCCGCCGUAA